GUCAUAGCAGGUAGCUGACAGCAUCUACUCCUGAAGACCGGAAACAUGGCUUGUACCAUCCAAAAGGCAGAAGCACUUGACGGGGCUCAUUUGAUGCAGAUCCUCUGGUAUGAUGAGGAAGAGUCUCUCUACCCAGCUGUAUGGUUGAGAGACAACUGCCCGUGCUCUGAUUGCUACCUGGAUUCUGCAAAAGCACGGAAACUUCUAGUGGAAGCUCUUGAUGUGAACAUUGGAAUUAAAGGCUUGAUAUUUGACAGAAAAAAGGUGUACAUCACAUGGCCCGAUGAGCAUUACAGUGAAUUCCAGGCUGAUUGGCUGAAGAAAAGAUGCUUUUCCAAGCAGGCCAGAGCAAAGCUCCAAAGAGAAUUGUUUUUUCCAGACAUACUUGGCAAGUGCAAGACAAAAUCGAUGCAAACAAUGUGGCUUACACAACUGGGAAGCUAAGCUUUCACACUGAUUAUCCAGCCCUCCAUCAUCCACCUGGGGUUCAGCUUCUUCACUGCAUAAAGCAAACAGUCACAGGGGGUGAUUCAGAAAUUGUAGAUGGGUUUAAUGUGUGCCAAAAACUAAAGAAAAAUAAUCCUCAGGCAUUCCAGAUUUUGUCCUCUACCUUUGUGG
RNAcentral lists this small RNA (618 nucleotides) under Pan troglodytes (chimpanzee). RNAcentral's name for it is "processed transcript". Lineage: Eukaryota; Metazoa; Chordata; Mammalia; Primates; Hominidae. The record is from RNAcentral.